Molecule: ribosomal RNA, 506 nt
Filed under: uncultured bacterium
Lineage: Bacteria
Description: partial 16S ribosomal RNA
Rfam family: Bacterial small subunit ribosomal RNA
Source: RNAcentral
AUUGAACGCUGGCGGCAUGCCUUACACAUGCAAGUCGAACGGCAGCAUGGAAGAGCUUGCUCUUCUGAUGGCGAGUGGCGAACGGGUGAGUAAAGCAUCGGAACGUACCGUGUAAUGGGGGAUAACGUAGCGAAAGUUACGCUAAUACCGCAUACGACCUGAGGGGGAAAGCAGGGGAUCGCAAGACCUUGCGUUAUACGAGAGGCCGAUGUCAGAUUAGCUAGUUGGUGGGGUAAAGGCUCACCAAGGCGACGAUCUGUAGCGGGUCUGAGAGGAUGAUCCGCCACACUGGGACUGAGACACGGCCCAGACUCCUACGGGAGGCAGCAGUGGGGAAUUUUGGACAAUGGGGGCAACCCUGAUCCAGCCAUGCCGCGUGAGUGAAGAAGGCCUUCGGGUUGUAAAGCUCUUUCGGCCGGGAAGAAAUCGCACAGGCUAAUACUCUGUGUGGAUGACGGUACCGGCAUAAGAAGCACCGGCUAACUACGUGCCAGCAGCCGCAGUAA